GAUUAAAGGAAGUCCAAAUUAAGCCCAUAAAUUCCGUUCAUGAAAAAAGCAGCUAUUCUCAGUUCAUGCCUUUAAUAAGCCAUUUUCCCGUAGAAGAAAAGGCAGUGCCAGCACCUGCGGUUAAACUGCCUCUACACUUAAUUUACUUUACUUAGCUUGCCCGUAAAUAGCAGUAAAAUGAUCAUUUAAGGGCUAACCUAGAUUAAAAAUUCACGCAAGAAAAGGGAGUAGCACCCCUCUACUACUUUAAAAUUAUAAGGUAGUUAUUCCAAGAUAAAACCUAAUUCUCCUGGCUGUGUUUUUCCUUCAUAGGGAAACUUGUUAUUUGACAGUACACACUAUUAUCUUUAAGUUUUUAGUCUAUGUGUGGCUGUCCUUCUUUCUAUGAAAUGAAAAUCUGGUCAAGUUUCAUGUAAUAAUACUUAUUUCUACAAGUUGCUUUUCAUGGUCAAUAAAAUUAAAAACUUAAGGACUUAUUAGUAAGAUAAAUUUUCUGAACAAGGUAGAAACAACCACAUAUCGUCCGUCGCUCUCUUUCGAGAUAAGUCGUAGCAAAGUAACUGAUGUGGAAACAUCGGUUUCUCUA
This 586-nucleotide ribosomal RNA is filed under the name Schizopera knabeni. Its description in RNAcentral is "12S ribosomal RNA". The record is from RNAcentral. Lineage: Eukaryota; Metazoa; Arthropoda; Copepoda; Harpacticoida; Miraciidae.